AGAAGAGCCAGGAAGGGUGCAAGGUACAGGCUGAGGAACCUUUCACUGUUGUACAGAGAGCAAUGCGAUAGAAAAACUGCUUACAUGUUCAAGCGAGUCUCCUGCCUCAGCCUCCUGAGUAGCUGGGACUACACGUGUGUGCCACCAUGCCUGGACAGGUUUCCAUGUGCAAGGCUCCAGCCCAGACCAAUGACACUGCUUAUCUAUGAUUGUCAAAAUGCCAGCUAUCACCAGUGAAGAACUCCAGGUGGCACAAAUACUAUGACCUGUCUCCUAACAGAUCUCAGGAGUUAAGACAUCAUCUCCAGAAAACUGUGCUAGUUGGCAUCCAGCAGUGCCCAAGUAUUAUUUAACCCACUAGAACCUGUGACUGCAUCAGCUUUAUAUCCUGGACCUCAGCCUGGAACAAAGGAGAGCUACACUUGGAUACUAAACACAAGUGGUCUGGAUAGAUUAUGCUGGGAAAAGAAGCCUGGAGCAGGCAGUACAGUGGGAGAACAAGACAGAAGUGCUUGCCUUGGUGAUCCAAAAAAGGCAGGAUCCGGCCGGGGGCAAGGUGAUUAUUCUGUCUGAUGAGGAGAAUAAGAGCCAGUUUGUGGUAUUGACAGAAGAAUGAAAGUAAAGUUCAACCAAUCUACAAAGGCCAAAAAUAUUUUCACAGGCCCCCAAAAGAUGAACUCCAAUCUGCUGCCCCUAAACGCAUUCUCCACUGUCUGGAAGAUGUGCAAAGGCAACGGCACAGCGUUCUCCAUCUCAAAUCCUUCAAAGUGCUGUCAGAAUAAAAGAAUCCCCACCAAAAGCCCCAGGGAAAUCUAUCUGUCUGUAUGGUAUGGUAAUGACUGAGGUUAUUCCAGAUAGGAUUCUGGGAGAAACUCAGCUAUUGAAAUCUAAUGAAUGGAACUGAGAAUUUCUUGUUAUAAUACUGUUUGUUUGAUUGAAUAUAUCCUUGCAUAUAGGAAGACAUAAAAAUAAAUAAUAAAAGCAAGAUAUUAUUUGAA
RNAcentral lists this long non-coding RNA (998 nucleotides) under Homo sapiens (human). RNAcentral's name for it is "long intergenic non-protein coding RNA 1013". Lineage: Eukaryota; Metazoa; Chordata; Mammalia; Primates; Hominidae. The record is from RNAcentral.